This 83-nucleotide transfer RNA is filed under the name Leucobacter tardus. It matches the Rfam family "tRNA". Rfam says of the family: Transfer RNA (tRNA) molecules are approximately 80 nucleotides in length. Their secondary structure includes four short double-helical elements and three loops (D, anti-codon, and T loops). The record is from Rfam by way of RNAcentral. Lineage: Bacteria; Bacillati; Actinomycetota; Actinomycetes; Micrococcales; Microbacteriaceae.
GCCGGAUUGGCGGAAUUGGCAGACGCGAAGCACUCAAAAUGCUUUGUCCUUUGGGCGUGUGGGUUCGAGUCCCACAUCCGGCA